CUCUCUGGGGGCUGCCCUGCUGCUGGCCGGGGCUGAAUGGCUGAAUUUGGCCAUGCUUUGCCUCUGCCAGAGCAUCAUGACAGAGCAGGAUAAAAGCUCACUCUUUCUAGCUGUGUUUUUCUAGUCACUUUUCUACUGAUCCAGGUUACUCCCAAAGACAUGGCAAAGAACUGUGCUCUUCACUAGAUCCAUUUAUUUUGUUUUCAACCCAGUGCUGUGCCACAGAUGCCUGGCCCAAUAUAUCCCAUCUCCUAUUAAGUUAUUUCCCAGUCAUUGUGGUGUGAGCAUGGUGGCACCAACAGCCAGUCCUGGCAGCCUCCCCUAUAUUGUCACACUCUGAACGUGGCAGAGCAAGUCAUUAAAAGCAAAAGCCUCUGUGCCACUCGGAGACUGGGCUCCCAGAUCCACAGGUAAUUAGAUCCCGGCCGUGCAAGGUAGUCAGGCAAUUCAAUGCAGUUAGAGAGACAUUUGCUUCCAAAACAAAGGCAGCAAGGAGACACCGGGAAUAUCAACUGCCAAAUUCUGCUCCUCGAUGGGACUGAGCCAUAUCCAAUCUGUCGGUUUUCAGACACCUUGUAGGUACCUGCCAUACAGUGUCUACCUGUUACACAUGCUCCCUGGGAUAUUAGAGAUGCUAAGUGAGAACUGAGAAGAUAAACUGAGAAGUGAAGCUUGUGUUCAAGCAGGCCACCUGCAAAUGGGGCUUUUCACCUUGCCAGGGAUUCCCCUCCAUGUGCCGGCUGCUAGAGCUCAGACUCCCAGCUCACAUCCCUCCCUGUGUCCUGCAGAACCUAGGACAAAUCCCCAUCUCAGCGGCAGCCCCCUGCAGGGUGAACCAAGUCAGCAGGGAAAGAUAAAGCCAGGACACUCGGGUUAUUGACCGGACCAGCCUCUCCACACCACCAUCAGGCCACUCAGGAGGAAGGACUUAGAGCACACAGCUACAAAUCGCGCCAGAGCAGCAUCGAGCCCUCCUUGAAGCCUAUCUGGAGGCGCUGAUGACGCAGGCACAGAGCUCUUAGAGGAGGCGCUGCCCUCCCAGCGGCUCCCACAGGUGAUCAGAACCAAUGGCUUGGGUCAACCCUGAUUUGUGGGGUUUCCCUCAGCUGCCUUGCAGCCCCCAGGGCCCCACUCACCCUUUGGGGAUCCUCCGGGAGGGAGUCUGGCUGCCGUGCAUCUGCCUCUGCAUCCCCCGUGCCCUCCUCCACCUGCACCGCUGGAGACUCCUCCUCCGGACACCUUUCCAGCCCUGCCCGCCUGCUGGCCGCGGGCCCUGCCACUGCCCCAGCUACCCCCGUUGCUCCCCGGCUCCCACCAGUGCCCCACUCGCCUUGGGCCCCGUCAGCGCCCCACUCUCCCUGCCAGCCCCCCACUGGCCCUUGCUGUGCCCGGGUCCCGCCGGCGCCCCGCUUACCUUACCAGCACCGCCUCGCUGUGCCCGGCUCGCCCUGCCAGCGCCCUCCCCGCGCCCCGGGCCCCGCGGGAGCUGGAGCAGCAGGUCGGGCUUUGUCUCCCGCAAAGCUACCCAACUUACCUUUCCAGUCCGCCGCGCUCGGCACCCACGCCCGGAAAGCAAACACGGAUGGAAAGCCGCGGUGCGGCCCGACGCUGCUGCCCCCCACCCAGCACUCGUCCUGCGGCCGGGGGCAAGAGCUCUGCCUGGGUGGCAGAGGCAGCUUUCCCAGCAAUCGGGAAUUAAUCCCUGCCUGGAGGAGAGCGAUGACUAAAAGGCAGGCAGCUGGUGGCACCUUGUGCCUGUUGUUUGGACAGGCCUUCCCCUUGGUUUACUGUGCAGCAGAGAGGAGCAAAGUCGAAGGACCAAUUGCUCGUGCUCUAAUUUAUCGCACAUGGAAAGGCAGCAAGGGGAUUUUUUAGCAACAGAAAUGGCCUAGCAGCUACAUCACCAUGGGGCAGGUACAGGCUCUGUGCUGAUUCUGCUGUACCAACUGGUCUUAGCACAACUCCUCCCUGCCCAGAAUCCAAG
Long non-coding RNA from Cinclus cinclus, 1984 nucleotides. RefSeq lists it as uncharacterized. The record is from RefSeq and is a predicted model, not a curated record. NCBI's taxonomy places the organism in Eukaryota, Metazoa, Chordata, Aves, Passeriformes, Cinclidae. The transcript has 3 exons.